UCCAGGGUAGCCUAGUGGACAUAGAAUCUGCUCGGUAAGCGGAACAAUGUGGGUUCGAUUCCCAUCCCUGGAC
Molecule: transfer RNA, 73 nt
Filed under: Cordylochernes scorpioides
Lineage: Eukaryota; Metazoa; Arthropoda; Arachnida; Pseudoscorpiones; Chernetidae
Description: tRNA-Thr
Rfam family: tRNA
About the family: Transfer RNA (tRNA) molecules are approximately 80 nucleotides in length. Their secondary structure includes four short double-helical elements and three loops (D, anti-codon, and T loops).
Source: RNAcentral